This 807-nucleotide ribosomal RNA is filed under the name Streptomyces sp. Its description in RNAcentral is "bacterial SSU rRNA". It matches the Rfam family "Bacterial small subunit ribosomal RNA", at positions 89 to 916 of the family's 1533-position model. The record is from RNAcentral. Lineage: Bacteria; Bacillati; Actinomycetota; Actinomycetes; Kitasatosporales; Streptomycetaceae.
UGGUUAGUGGCGACGGGUGAGUAACACGUGGGCAAUCUGCCCUUCACUCUGGGACAAGCCCUGGAAACGGGGUCUAAUACCGGAUAACACUCUGUCCCGCAUGGGACGGGGUUGAAAGCUCCGGCGGUGAAGGAUGAGCCCGCGGCCUAUCAGCUUGUUGGUGGGGUAAUGGCCUACCAAGGCGACGACGGGUAGCCGGCCUGAGAGGGCGACCGGCCACACUGGGACUGAGACACGGCCCAGACUCCUACGGGAGGCAGCAGUGGGGAAUAUUGCACAAUGGGCGAAAGCCUGAUGCAGCGACGCCGCGUGAGGGAUGACGGCCUUCGGGUUGUAAACCUCUUUCAGCAGGGAAGAAGCGAAAGUGACGGUACCUGCAGAAGAAGCGCCGGCUAACUACGUGCCAGCAGCCGCGGUAAUACGUAGGGCGCAAGCGUUGUCCGGAAUUAUUGGGCGUAAAGAGCUCGUAGGCGGCUUGUCACGUCGGAUGUGAAAGCCCGGGGCUUAACCCCGGGUCUGCAUUCGAUACGGGCUAGCUAGAGUGUGGUAGGGGAGAUCGGAAUUCCUGGUGUAGCGGUGAAAUGCGCAGAUAUCAGGAGGAACACCGGUGGCGAAAGCGGGAUCUCUGGGCCAUUACUGACGCUGAGGAGCGAAAGCGUGGGGAGCGAACAGGAUUAGAUACCCUGGUAGUCCACGCCGUAAACGUUGGGAACUAGUGUUGGCGACAUUCCACGUCGUCGUGCGCAGCUAACGCAUUAAGUUCCCCGCCUGGGGGAGUACGGCGCAAGCUAACUCAAAGAUUGACGG